UACGGAGGGGGUUAGCGUUGUUCGGAAUUACUGGGCGUAAAGCGCGCGUAGGCGGGUUGUUAAGUUAGAGGUGAAAUCCCGGGGCUCAACCCCGGAACUGCCUUUAAUACUGGCAACCUAGAGUUCGAGAGAGGUGAGUGGAAUUCCGAGUGUAGAGGUGAAAUUCGUAGAUAUUCGGAGGAACACCAGUGGCGAAGGCGGCUCACUGGCCUGGUAUCGACGCUGAGGUGCGAAAGCGUGGGGAGCAAACAGGAUUAGAUACCCCGGUGUCC
RNAcentral lists this ribosomal RNA (272 nucleotides) under uncultured bacterium. Its description in RNAcentral is "partial 16S ribosomal RNA". It matches the Rfam family "Bacterial small subunit ribosomal RNA", at positions 524 to 796 of the family's 1533-position model. The record is from RNAcentral.